GAAAAAUGAAAAAGAAAGAAAAAAAGUAAUAUUCAUUAAUCCCCAAAUAUCAAAACACGAACCCUAAAUCACAUCCCUCUCUCCUCUGUGUUCAGAGAAAAAAAAACAGAGCGGAGAAGCCGCAUCUCAGCUGGAUAUAGAAGAAGCUCUUGAAGCUUCCAGAUACGCUAGUCAACCAUAUUCUACUCAUCGCAGAGAGAGGUGGGUGAUACUGGGAAACUUCCUUCUGUAAUUAUUGAGAGGUAUAAUACAGCAGGCGAUGAAGGCACGACUUUUUGUGCGAUUUUUUCCAGAGAUUCGGCGGGCUUGGGCAUCCGUGGACAAUUCUCUGUUUUCUGUGGCGUUUCGACAAAAGGUAAAGUUGGCUUUUUUAUUACAUUUAGUCACAUGGGAAGUUUAGAGCUUAAGAUGCCUUUUUCGUAGUUGUUGCUUUGUCAAUUAGGGAUGGGCAAUGUCGUCAGGCUAUUUGUGCGUAGUUUAGCCAAAUAUAGAUCUGUUUUUUUUUUUGAAGCUAUUCAGGACAGAGGGUCUUGAUCUUCCUGAUGUACUCGUGGAAGUCGAAAAGUGAGGAUCCUCUUUAGACGAGUUGCUAGCAGUUCCUGAACAAGAUGAUUGGAUAUAGAGCGAUGGGAAAUCAACUUCUUGUAUCGCUUUCAUCCUCGAAAUGUACAGAGAAGGUGGCCUGUUUGAUCCAAUCUCUAGUUCCAUCGAAGUCGCUGAAUUCAUGAUCAAGGAUGCUUACAUGCUCAAGUUUUUCGAGAACAAUGCAAGCCGUUUGCCUAAAUGGUGUAACGACAACAAUGAUGUAAAGCUACCGUACUGUCAAAUUCAUGCGAAAUACAGAAUGGAGCUUCCCGGUUACAACACUAUGGAGCCAUACCCACAUAUGAACGAGCACUGCCCGUCUCUGUGUGACUGCGUCCAAAGUACCAUAGACCAAAGAACUGCUAGAACAAAUAUAUUAAGUGUUGUCUGUUUGUUAGGAAUGACUUGGUGUAAUGAUCCACGAAUAUGUGACAAAGUUCACUUCAAAUACAUCUGCAAAGAACGAGAGUGCGACUCAUCAUUGUUGUCUUUGUAAUUUGCGUUUAAUAUUUGGGUUUUAGAUUUUACUUUAUGGAUAAAAUGUUAGGCUCAGAUUUUGGAUUA
Molecule: long non-coding RNA, 1149 nt
Organism: Brassica napus (rape)
Lineage: Eukaryota; Viridiplantae; Streptophyta; Magnoliopsida; Brassicales; Brassicaceae
Exons: 4
Source: RefSeq, a predicted model, not a curated record